GACGAACGCUGGCGGCGUGCUUAACACAUGCAAGUCGAACGGAAAGGCCCCUUUGGGGGUCCUCGAGUGGCGCACGGGUGAGUAACACGUGAGUAACCUGCCCUUGACUUCGGGAUAACUUCAGGAAACUGGGGCUAAUACCGGAUAGGAAUCCUUGCUGCAUGGUGGGGGUUGGAAAGCUUCGGCGGUUUUGGAUGGACUCGCGGCUUAUCAGCUUGUUGGUGGGGUAGUGGCUUACCAAGGCUUUGACGGGUAGCCGGCCUGAGAGGGCGACCGGCCACAUUGGGACUGAGAUACGGCCCAGACGCCUACGGGAGGCAGCAGUGGGGAAUAUUGCACAAUGGGCGGAAGCCUGAUGCAGCAACGCCGCGUGCGGGAGGACGGACUUCGGGUUGUAAACCGCUUUCAGCAGGGGCGAAGCUUGUGGUGACGGUACCUGCAGAAGAAGCACCGGCUAACUACGUG
RNAcentral lists this ribosomal RNA (465 nucleotides) under uncultured bacterium. RNAcentral describes it as "partial 16S ribosomal RNA". It matches the Rfam family "Bacterial small subunit ribosomal RNA", at positions 28 to 507 of the family's 1533-position model. The record is from RNAcentral.